AGCUUUGCACAGUGGCAGUAUAAUAGUCAAUGAAGUUUAGCCAUGGCUCAAUUAUUGCUAAUUGAAAACUAUUCCAAAAAUA
Molecule: small nuclear RNA, 82 nt
Filed under: Canis lupus familiaris (dog)
Lineage: Eukaryota; Metazoa; Chordata; Mammalia; Carnivora; Canidae
Also listed under: 2 other names
Description: U4 spliceosomal RNA
Rfam family: U4 spliceosomal RNA
About the family: U4 small nuclear RNA (U4 snRNA) is a component of the major U2-dependent spliceosome. The structure of U4 snRNA from yeast and human has been reported.
Source: Rfam by way of RNAcentral